Molecule: unclassified non-coding RNA, 401 nt
Filed under: uncultured Dominikia
Lineage: Eukaryota; Fungi; Glomeromycota; Glomeromycetes; Glomerales; Glomeraceae
Description: sequence contains ITS1
Rfam family: 5.8S ribosomal RNA (bases 1-105)
Source: RNAcentral
GAAGUGCGAUAAGUAAUGUGAAUUGCAUAAAUUCGUGAAUCAUCGAAUCUUUGAACGCAUAUGGCACUCUUUGGUAUUCCAAAGAGUAUGUCUGUUUGAGUAUCAGUUACCUUAUUCUUCCAACACCUGGGGGUGUUUGUGAAGGUCUUGAGGCGUCAGCGAGACUCCCUUGGGAGCUUCGUUGUCCCUUUAAACGUAUCACGGUUGCUGCAUACGGGAAAGUGCUACUACUCUCGCAAAGUGCGAUGAAAGUGUGCCGUAAAAACGCACCCACUCCACUAAGCUAGAGUUCUCGUGGGCUUUUGUGCUUGACUGGCAACUCGGUAGAGUUGUGCAUCGGCAACCGCUUGCAAUCAAGGCAACUGAUACUCAAAUCAGACAAGACUACCCGCUGAACUUAA